Gallus gallus (chicken) is the source of this 4923-nucleotide long non-coding RNA. The record is from Ensembl. Lineage: Eukaryota; Metazoa; Chordata; Aves; Galliformes; Phasianidae.
CUUUAUGCCUGCGCUGCUCGGAGUUACUGUAAUUGUUCUGGCACCACUCCCAGAGCUGAGCUAAGGUCAGCGAGAAACCUGUGAAUUAAUAACUGUGGAGCUGAAGUGAUCUCUAUCCAGGAAUCACGUUGUACAUACGUGAAGCUUUAGAGCAGUUGUACCGCAGCUUUGCCACGAGAUGUUUAAAGCUGUUGAACUGCGGUGUGAACAAAUGGCGUAGCCCUUCAGAGAUGUUGGAGCCGAUUCUGAUCUCGCCAUCGCAGGAGUGCCACGAACUGGAACAGGGCAGUCCAAAGGCCACUGAAGAAGUCCACGAAUCUUCCUCAUUGCCUGCAGUAAGCUUUGGAUCAGGCCCCAGUGAGCCAGCAAGAACGUGCCGUUCAGCGUGCUAUAACAAGUCCACCGGCAUGUGCUGAUAGCUGCAGGAGAGCUGUUAGAAGUACACCCCUAAAAAUGAGGAAGAUCUUGGCUGAGGAGGCAGCAGCUUCUGGCCCAGCCCUCACCCCCCACACAACGCGUGAAACACACCGGAGCCUCUUAAAUUAGGGAACAGAGCAGCCCUGCACCCAUUCUUUCCUCCAUGCGAUAUCACAGGAAAGCUGGAGAGUAUUGUAUUACUCUUAAUACACUUUGUGAUCGUGUAAGUCUCCCAAAUCCCACUGCCAGUAAGCUCUGGUGAUUAAACAGCUUACUGAAGGGAAACCAUAGCUAAUACUUUCUACCCUUAUCAAAGUGUAUUGCUAAUGAGGACUGGGAAAACUCUCAGUGUUAAUACAACAUCUGUAGAUUAACAUUAGCUUACUCGUGCUUUCACAGUCAAUGGCUAAAAUUCAGUCAAUCACUUGGAUUCACGUCACACUUCUAAUUGGUGUUACGGUACAUCAGUCUCAGUAUUUCCCCAGCAGAAGUACACCGGGAGUGGAAAAGGCAACAUCAAGAGCUGGAGGCCAAAGAAGAAAUUUGCAACAAGUUGCUUGGACAUCAUGAUUUAGGAACCUUACAGGAGGUCUGGGAACAGAGGUUCGGGGCUCCUAAUCAUAGAAUCAUGGAAUCAUUACGUUUGGAAAGACCACUAAGAUCACCUAGUCCAACCCUCAGCUCAUCCCCACCAUGCCCGCUGAGCCCCAUUGCAUCAUGCAGUGCAACACCUAUUCUUUUCUUGAAAACCUCCAAGGACUGUGACCCCACCACCUCCUUGGGCAGCCCGUUCCUUCUUCCUUAUGGAAAAUGGAAAAACAGAAAUCAAUGAAGGACGUGACAGAAAAGGAUAAGCAGCAUGCAUCUGAUGAUGAGAAGGAGGGAAGCAUGGUAGGGCGAGAGACAAAGUGCAGCUGGCACAUUAAAAAGCAAUCAGAGGAAAAGAAACCAGUAGUUCAACUGAACAACCACCAGUGUCUUUAAUUCUAUCUAGUUUUACUGUGGGUGCAUGCUGUGCAACACUGCUUUGAAAUCUCUGAGAAACAGAUGUAGUUAACAACUCUUCCGCAGUGUAGAAGGGAAGAAAUUCUGUACUAAUUGACAAAGGAGUAAGAAGAUUCUUUUUAAAGAAGGGAGAAUAGUUUCAGUGUGCCCUCCAGGACACUAUAGGAUGGUCUCAGAUUCAAGUACAAACUCAUCUGCUACAUGGAAGCCUUGAACUCCACAAAGAUAAAUCCGUCACACAUCAGUAAAUGCAGAAAUGACAGAGAGAGCAAGACAUCCCUUAGCAACCCAACUGCUUUCCAUGCCUGGAAGACUGGCUCCUGUCAGCACAAGUAACAUAGAUGACCCAGAGCAUGUUCUCUCACCAACACAAGUAAGCUGCAUACCAAAAAGUCUGCCCUUCCCAGAAGCAUCUCUGUAAAGAGAAUGGAUGUGAACACAGACUCUGCGAGCCUAUGCCAUCUUCUGUCCCAGAUAACUCCAGAAUACUCCCAGCUCUGCAGAGCAGAGUUUUCUUGAAAGAAAUUGGGAAAAGAACCGAGACUGCCAGAGGAUGGAAACCAAAUUAAUUUCUGAAGAAACAGGUUCAUCUCUUACUGGCAUCUGCAGAGUUGCGUCAGCUUGUUGCGGAUAUGGAUUAGGCCUUGUGCUUCUGAGAAUCCAGCUUUGUUUCAAUUCUUCUGAGCACUUCCUUCUUUCCUUCUGACUGCACUUCAGUUUUGAUCCAAGUAUCAAAGAGGCUCAUGCAGCAGCUAACUUGCACCAAACACAGCAUAAAUUUCUACUGACGGCUUACCUAGAUGACGUGCAGCUCAAUGGAGACCAAAAAGGGUAAGGUCUCAGCCUCUUCCCUUACUGCAGUAACAAAGCACCUGGGGGUGCUCACUUUUUUUCUGUCUCGUAAACUGGUUGCCAUGGCAAGUUACUUGUGUUGCACUGUCAGGUAGUAAAAGGAAACAAUUUGCAUCCUCUAGAAAACUCAGAAUUUUAGAACUCUGUCGCCUAUCAGUUUGCUUUCUGCCUUGACACUGCUUAUCCCUGAAGCUCGGCGAGAGAUGAGCAAGAACAACAUCCCAGCAACAGAAGUACCUGAAGGUUUAUUGAGCCUGGUGUGUCUGCAGAAGGAAUAAAUUAAGUAAUCAUGAAGAAUAUGGUGCUGUGGGAAAGCACGUCAGAAUCCCUGCUUUUCUCAGCGUGCUCUCAGAGAUAAUGAUAUGGAGAGCACACACACUGAUACAAUCUUCCUUCUGAACACUUCAAGAAAGUUUCAAUUACAGAGAGAAGGAAAACACAUCCAGCAAAACAGACCAACAGACUAUCUGAAUGUAGAGACGGCACAAAAGGCACAGAAGGAACCAGGAAGUACUCAGCAUAAUUAGGACGAGGCUGGGUGAGAUUGUGGAUAUGGCAAAGGAACAGAAGACGCAGGAAAACAACAAAAGGAACCUGACACCACUCAUCUACCCUCUGCCUACUGAGAACUUAUACCCUUCAGCUGGCCUUCGUGCAGACUUUCUUUGCUGAGAGCAAAAUUGGGAUGUAUUCAGAUAUCCCCGUGAAGCUACAAAAGUGCAGUUGUUUGCCUUGCUGGUGAUACCGAUGAUCACAAGAAGUUUCCAUGGGUUUUUUUUUGUUUUGUUUUUUUUUACAGGGCAAAAGAGAGUUGAGUUCAAGCUGGCAAUGACGUGGGUGAUCCUACUAGAGAAACCUCGAAAAAAGAUCAACAUCUCAAAACUUCUGGAGAUAGCCUUGACCUGAUGAGUGAGUUCAGUUGUUAACUAAGUUGGUGGCCUAAGUUUCAAUGUUACAAACUUGUGUUUGUAUGUUUUCACGUCACACUAACCUCCUUCUUGCAGAGGCUGAAGAGGAAAUGACAACAUCAAGGAAUUAUUUUUUGGGGGUCACAGCACUUACAGAAAUCAGUAACAUAUCUUUCCAGGGCUAAAUUUAGACUGCUGUUUUAAAACGUCACAUGAUUAUCGAUGGGAGAAGGAAGUCCGUGAGUUAUGGCCUCCUACAUGCAUGCUACAGUUUGGUGAAGAUGAUGAGUUAAAACUGAAGGCACUGGAAUGACAGAGCAGCCCUUCAACCCCACUGCAGCAGCGUGCCAACAACAAGUAGUCCUCAGGUAUCUUAUGUCCGGAUGUGAUCGUAGCAUUGAAGAAUGAGCAAGAGGCAGCUUCAGUCCAGGCUUCUGGUGUGUCCUGGUACUUGGAGGCCAGGGAGAAGUCCAAGAAGUACGAGGUUCGCCCAUAGCUUCCAUAGAAUCGGAGAAUGCAUGAGGUUGUAAAGGACCUUACAGCCCACCCAUUUCCAAUCCCCCUGCUGUAGGCAGGGCUGUCACUCAGUAGAAUAGGCUGCCCAUGGCGCCAUCCAUCCUGCCCUUGACCACCACCAGGGACGGGACACCCACAGCUGCUCUGGGCAGCCUAUGACAGUGCGUCACCGCUCUCCGAGUGCUUUGUCUACUACGCUCCUCUACUACCCUACCUAUUUGGGUCUUUUGCUCCCUGAUCGGUCCAGGGCCACUUAGGUACUGAGAAACAGAAGCUUGCUUGCAGGGUGCAAACUGCAAGAUCCCUGUAUGCUCCAGUACCUGCCUGCUCACCAGAAGGGCGAAGACAAGAUGAGACAGGCAGUGCAGAGAGGCGGUGCGCCGUGCGUACGUGUGCCUGCCUGUGGAGAGACCCAUCACCUUUGUGCGUGCCGCUGCUGCUGGCUUGCAUGGGAGAGAUGCUGUGUUUCUGCAAGCUGCUCUUCUUGGCUCCGUGGAGAACGGAGAGGUUGUUCCGAAGCUGGAGGUCCUGUUAGAAGCCAGCAAACAUUCUCAAGGUAAGCUGAAGUUUCGUCCUCUUUGUUCGGACCUGUCUGUUUGUGUUCCAGCUUAGGGGAAGUGCUCCAGCAGGUUCGUUUGUGCUUCUGCAACAGUCUGUGAGACCUGAAAAAACCUGCACGGCUUCUCGGCAGGUGUCCUCACAGCUUGCUUAAUCUGUUCCAGCCCUGAGCUCUGCAGGGCACGAGCUUUCCUUUCACCGUGUCAACGGCAGUAUCUAGAACAAUGGCUUCUAGAUCCAUUUUCAGAUUACCAGAUACCUCUCUGAUGGAAACAACCAGCAGUGGCGAUGCGGUUGAGAAUUGCAUCAGAGCGAACAGCGUUUCUGCAGCACCAGGAGCGCAGACUUUAUUUGGAGCCAUAUUCUGCAGUCCUGCCUCAAAGCUUGGGCACGCAUCAGCAGUAGUGCAGCCAGCAGGAGCGCGGUGCUCAUCGGCUCUGGUGGGGCCACACCCCGAGCACUGUGUGCAGUCUGGGGCCCCUCGCUACAAGAAAGACAUCGAGGCACUGGAGCGCGUCCAGACAAGGGAUACGAAGCCGCGAGGGGUCAGGAGCACGAGUCUGACGGGGGAGCGGCUGAGGGAACUGGGAUAGUUCAGUCUGGAGAAGAGAAGGCUCAGGGGAGCCCCGCGGCAGCGCGAGGGCCCCACCCGCGGGGCCGCCCCCGG